AUGCUUCUUUCGAGGACAUAGGCUCCCAGCUCAAGGACAACCUGCACGCCUCAUCGCUGCUCUUUAGGCUUCUCAGAGAAAACGGCUUCUCUGUUUCCGAAGAUAUAUUCAAGAAAUUUAAAGACGAGAAAGGCCAGUUCGAAGACCGGCUCCACAGCCAGGCCCAGGGAUUACUGAGUUUGUACGAGGCUUCUUACCU
This is a long non-coding RNA of Zingiber officinale, 199 nucleotides long. RefSeq lists it as uncharacterized. NCBI's taxonomy places the organism in Eukaryota, Viridiplantae, Streptophyta, Magnoliopsida, Zingiberales, Zingiberaceae. The transcript has 2 exons. The record is from RefSeq and is a predicted model, not a curated record.